Pezoporus occidentalis (night parrot) is the source of this 1383-nucleotide long non-coding RNA. RefSeq lists it as uncharacterized. The transcript has 2 exons. The record is from RefSeq and is a predicted model, not a curated record. Lineage: Eukaryota; Metazoa; Chordata; Aves; Psittaciformes; Psittacidae.
CUCCUGCGCACGUAAAUAAAUCCUCCCUGGUAAGCUCGGGAUAGAAGUGUGCACCCAAGUAACAGAACUUUCAUUGUGGUAUCGUUUUUAAAAGGUAAGCGAAGAGCGGCUCGUUUGUUCCUCACAAGAUGCCAAACAAAAGCACUACUGAACCGCACAAACUUCGGUAAACUAGAUACAGAUGGCAGCAGCAGGUAAAGCAGGACACUGAAGGCACUCUUUAUUCGCUUUUAAAAUAUGUGGUGAGUUUAAAAAAAAAAAAACAAAACAGAAAAAUAAAAGUAAAAGGGAAAAAAAAUAAAAAGAAAAGAAUUAAAGCCUGCUCUAAAGCUCACUGAAGUCAACAGGAAGACUUUGAAAAGGGAACUCCUGGAAAGAGUAGUUUCAAGCAAAGAGAGUGAAGCUUUUUGCCAGGUCCUCCUGUACAAGCCCAUAAAAGCAGACCCCGCUCCUGCUUUCUAACUAUGAGAUCGCGCUGGUUUCUAGGCACUUAACUCCUGGUGUACGCCAGCCUAGCCGAGAAGAAAACAAGGCCUGCUGCCAGCCACGGAGCGGCUCGGGAUCACAUCCCCGAUCGGGGGCACGGGCAGCCCCCCGGGCCGCGCAAGCUGCCCUCCGUCCCGCAGGCCUAUCUGCCUCAUCCCCUUCCUUCCCACCGCCCCCAAAAAGUAGACAACUUAUAGAUGUUCUGACCUGACGCAACCCAGGCUUUAUUCAACUUCACUGCAAUGUACAGACCGACCCGGGAGGAACGCGCCCAUCCAGGGAGAGAUGUUUAUUUGAGGUGACAGCCACCCUUCAGCCUCCUUCCUGGAGAAGCCCCUGUCCGCCGAGCCCAACGGCUCCCGGCUCCUGAGGGGAAAGGCGACCAACGGCUGCCCGCUCCUCGGGGGGCGCGGGCGGGCGACACCGCACGCCGCGGCGGGCUGAGGGGCGGCGGCGGCGAGGGGCCCGGCGGGGGGCGGCCGCAGCAGGCCGCGCGGGGCGGGGGGAGGAGGGGGCGCCCGGGCCGGGACGCUGCCGGCCCCGCCACAGCCGCACAAGCCGCCCUUUGUCCUCCUGCGGGUCCCGGGCUUCCCCCCUUCCUCUCCCCUCAACCUCCCGCCUUCUCCGGGGGUCCGGGCUUGCUUGCGGCGAGACAUCCUAAAAGCAAACAGCUGAAGUUGUUUCAAUUUCAACCCUAUGAGAAACUACACUUCCUCACCGCCGAGGAGACCCUGCGCGACUUGCGCUGCUCCGCCGCCGGCUCCCUGCUCGCCUCUGCCCGCCCGGUCCCUGCCGGCGCUGGCCGGGGGGCUCGCAGCCGCCUCGGCCAGGCAGCCGCCACCAAAACUUUCCGAGCUGUCAGCCCCCAGCUCCCUUCCCCGAUCCCCCCCCCCCCCC